GACGAACGCUGGCGGCGCGCUUAACACAUGCAAGUCGAACGGAAAGGCCUGCUUUCCCUUGUGGAUUGCGGGUACUCGAGUGGCGAACGGGUGAGUAACACGUGAGUGAUCUGCCCCCAACUUGGGUAUAAGCCUGGGAAACUGGGUCUAAUUCCCGAUAGGACUGCAGGGUGGUGCCUGUGGUGGAAAACGAUUUUCUAGUGGUUGGGGAUGAGCUCGCGGCCUAUCAGCUUGUUGGUGGGGUAAUGGCCUACCAAGGCGGCGACGGGUAGCCGGCCUGGGAGGGUGGACGGGCAAAUUGGGACUGAGAUACGGCCCCGAAUACUACGGGAGGCAGCAGUGGGGAAUAUUGCACAAUGGGCGGAAGCCUGAUGCAGCGACGCCGCGUGGGGGAUGACGGUCUUCGGGUUGUAAACUCCUUUCGACCGCGAGGAAGCCACCUGGUUGGAAGGGUGGUGACGGUAGUGGUAGAAGAAGCACCGGCUAACUACGUG
This 494-nucleotide ribosomal RNA is filed under the name uncultured bacterium. Its description in RNAcentral is "partial 16S ribosomal RNA". It matches the Rfam family "Bacterial small subunit ribosomal RNA", at positions 28 to 507 of the family's 1533-position model. The record is from RNAcentral.